CAGCUUCCCAGGGGGAGAGUGGGUGUGUACCUUGUGCCGCAGCCUGACCCAGCCCGAGAUGGAGUACGACUGUGAGAAUGCCCGCUAUAACCAGCCUGGAAUGCGGGCAUCUCCUGGCCUAAGCAUGUAUGACCAGAAGAAGUGUGAGAAGCUGGUAUUGUCCUUGUGCUGCAAUAACCUCAGCCUGCCCUUCCAUGAACCUGUCAGCCCCCUGGCCCGGCAUUAUUACCAGAUUAUCAAGAGGCCCAUGGACCUGUCAAUCAUCCGGAGGAAGCUGCAAAAGAAGGACCCAGCUCACUAUACCACCCCAGAGGAGGUGGUAUCAGAUGUGCGCCUCAUGUUCUGGAACUGUGCUAAGUUCAAUUAUCCUGACUCCGAGGUUGCAGAGGCUGGCCGCUGCCUGGAAGUGUUCUUUGAGGGCUGGUUGAAGGAGAUCUACCCGGAGAAACGGUUUGCCCAGCCAAGGCAGGAGGACUCAGACUCCGAGGAGGUGUCUAGUGAGAGUGGAUGUUCCACUCCCCAGGGCUUCCCGUGGCCUCCCUACAUGCAGGAGGGCAUCCAACCCAAGAGGCGGCGACGACAUAUGGUAAAGAGUUACUGCCAGCCAGCAGCAGGAGAAUGAAAGAGCAAAAAGAAUGUCAUUUCGCCUGGCCAACAGCAUCUCUCAGGUGUGAGAGCCAAAAGGAGACUGGGCACUCUGGCAGCUGUUGUCCCAUACUGUCGACCAUUCCUCCCCAUCUUGCAGCUUAUCCUCUUCAGAGUGUGGAUGGUAGAUGAGUCUUGUUGAACUGUGUAGUGCUCUUCUUUGCCAUUUGCAUCUACAGCAUUUAUUUGGGAGCCGUAGUACAUCCACU
This 854-nucleotide small RNA is filed under the name Pan troglodytes (chimpanzee). Its description in RNAcentral is "retained intron". Lineage: Eukaryota; Metazoa; Chordata; Mammalia; Primates; Hominidae. The record is from RNAcentral.